CUACGUGCCAGCAGCCGCGGUAAUACGGAAGGUCCGGGCGUUAUCCGGAUUUAUUGGGUUUAAAGGGAGCGUAGGCCGCCCCUUAAGCGUGUUGUGAAAUGCGGGUGCUCAACAUCCGACUUGCAGCGCGAACUGGGGGGCUUGAGUGCGCCGAAAGUAGGCGGAAUUCGUGGUGUAGCGGUGAAAUGCUUAGAUAUCACGAAGAACUCCGAUUGCGAAGGCAGCUUACUGUAGCGCAACUGACGCUGAUGCUCGAAAGCGUGGGUAUCGAACAGGAUUAGAUACCCUGGUAGUCCACGCGGUAAACGAUGGAUGCUCGUUGUCGGCCUGUGUGGUCGGUGACCAAGCGAAAGCGUUAAGCAUCCCACCUGGGGAGUACGCCGGCAACGGUGAAACUCAAAGGAAUUGACGGGGGCCCGCACAAGCGGAGGAACAUGUGGUUUAAUUCGAUGAUACGCGAGGAACCUUACCCGGGCUUGA
This 480-nucleotide ribosomal RNA is filed under the name uncultured bacterium. RNAcentral's name for it is "bacterial SSU rRNA". It matches the Rfam family "Bacterial small subunit ribosomal RNA", at positions 501 to 984 of the family's 1533-position model. The record is from RNAcentral.